UUUUUCCUUAUCUGUUUUUAAUUUUAGAAAAAAAGUUUUAACAUGGAGAUUAUGGCUUCCACUGAACUGGGAUUUAGUAUUUCGAAACAUAUAAAAAGGAUUUCUAAAAUCAAAAGAUCUAUACUUUUUUCUCUUUCCAUCUGGAGUCAACUGAAUAUUCAACUUUUCCAUUGAACAAACAAACAAACAAUUGUGCUCCUGACUUUUUCCAGGCAUUAAACAAUAUAAUAACAAAAAUGAAAUGCAAAUAAAUGUACUUUUAAAACUUUAAUCCUACAGCAAAAGAUUCUACUGGCUAAUAAUGCUACCUGCCUGAAACUUUAUAUUCUGAUAUUUUUCCUUAAUAAAAAAGUAUUUUUUAAA
This 363-nucleotide long non-coding RNA is filed under the name Homo sapiens (human). Its description in RNAcentral is "HSALNT0304864". The record is from RNAcentral. Lineage: Eukaryota; Metazoa; Chordata; Mammalia; Primates; Hominidae.